UACAGAGGGGGCAAGCGUUGUUCGGAAUUACUGGGCGUAAAGCGCGUGUAGGCAGCGACUGCACGUCGGGUGUGAAAGCCCUGGGCUCAACCAUGGAAGUGCUUUCGAAACUGCUGAGCUUGAGUACGAAAGAGGAUCGCGGAAUUCCCGGUGUAGAGGUGAAAUUCGUAGAUAUCGGGAGGAACACCAGUGGCGAAGGCGGCGAUCUGGGUCGAUACUGACGCUGAGGUGCGAAAGCGUGGGGAGCAAACAGG
Molecule: ribosomal RNA, 254 nt
Filed under: uncultured bacterium
Lineage: Bacteria
Description: partial 16S ribosomal RNA
Rfam family: Bacterial small subunit ribosomal RNA
Source: RNAcentral